GCCAUCAAAACAUAAGAACUUCAUCAUCUCAUUCCUCACUACCCACAGACAUCUUAAAACCCUUGAGCAAAAAGCACUAAACAACUUAUCAAUAACAGGGCAAUAAUUAGCAGAACCAAGAAGAAGCUUCACACUCAUGUAACACAAUAAUAGCAAAACAAACAGGGACAGUAUAAGUACAAUUGUAAAAAUUAUCCUAAAUUAGAGAACACGAAACACUUACGUAAACCAAUUUUACUAAAGGAAAUUACAGAUCCAAAUGAAUAAUGAUUAAAGACCAGGAGGUGAAACCCUAACUGCUUAACGCCACAUAGCAACCUUAUUUGUGUGUGCGCGUUGUGGUGUAAAUACUCAAGACCAGUGUAUCAGUAAAUGAGAAUACCUGGAGAGAAUAUUCCGAAAGCUAUACCGCGGCGGCGAUGAAAAGAGAGUGAAAGACCGUUUGGCGUUUAGGGCAACAGUCACUUUUGUUUUCAAGCAUAGGGCAAAUCUUAGAAUAGGAACCAUUAUUUAUAGGGCAGAUCCCUGGUUUCUAAAACGAAAACCUUUUUUUUCUUUUUCCUUUUUUCUUUCAUUCUUACCUUCUCAUAAGUGUAGCCCUUGUUUGAGC
Molecule: long non-coding RNA, 610 nt
Filed under: Olea europaea (common olive)
Lineage: Eukaryota; Viridiplantae; Streptophyta; Magnoliopsida; Lamiales; Oleaceae
Description: long non-coding RNA (OEUR_LNC010111)
Source: RNAcentral